GACAGAGGGUGCAAACGUUGUUCGGAAUUACUGGGCGUAAAGCGCAUGUAGGCGGUUCGAAAAGUCAGAUGUGAAAGCCCUGGGCUUAACCCAGGAAGUGCAUUUGAAACUCACGAACUUGAGUCCCGGAGAGGAAGGCGGAAUUCUCGGUGUAGAGGUGAAAUUCGUAGAUAUCGAGAGGAACAUCGGUGGCGAAGGCGGCCUUCUGGACGGUGACUGACGCUGAGAUGCGAAAGCGUGGGGAGCAAACAGG
RNAcentral lists this ribosomal RNA (253 nucleotides) under uncultured bacterium. Its description in RNAcentral is "partial 16S ribosomal RNA". It matches the Rfam family "Bacterial small subunit ribosomal RNA", at positions 524 to 776 of the family's 1533-position model. The record is from RNAcentral.